GUAGUCGGAUUCGCAUUAAUCUAUAUAUUGAAGUGGGUUGGAGUAAAACUUGAACUAAAUUCCACCCAAAUCCACUUCAAACAUGUGGAUUGAUGAGAAUCCGACA
RNAcentral lists this microRNA precursor (106 nucleotides) under Sorghum bicolor (sorghum). Its description in RNAcentral is "MIR5565 microRNA precursor family". It matches the Rfam family "MIR5565 microRNA precursor family". Lineage: Eukaryota; Viridiplantae; Streptophyta; Magnoliopsida; Poales; Poaceae. The record is from Rfam by way of RNAcentral.